This 97-nucleotide ribosomal RNA is filed under the name Vibrio cholerae. Lineage: Bacteria; Pseudomonadati; Pseudomonadota; Gammaproteobacteria; Vibrionales; Vibrionaceae. The record is from RNAcentral.
UGGACCCACCUGAUUCCAUCCCGAACUCAGAAGUGAAACGAAACAGCGUCGAUGGUAGUGUGGGGUCUCCCCAUGUGAGAGUAGAACAUCGCCAGGC